UAGUGUAGUUAACACCUGCAUUAUUUGACGUUACCUACAGAAGAAGCACCGGCUAACUCCGUGCCAGCAGCCGCGGUAAUACGGAGGGUGCGAGCGUUUAAUCGGAAUUACUGGGCGUAAAGCGCAUGCAGGCGGCCUGUUAAGUCAGAUGUGAAAGCCCGGGGCUUAACCUCGGAAUUGCAUUUGAAACUGGCAGGCUAGAGUCUUGUAGAGGGGGUAGAAUUUCAGGUGUAGCGGUGAAUGCGUAGAGAUCUGAAGGAAUACCAGUGGCGAAGGCGGCCCCCUGGACAAAGACUGACGCUCAGAUGCGAAAGCGUGGGGAGCAAACAGGAUUAGAUACCCUGGUAG
This 348-nucleotide ribosomal RNA is filed under the name uncultured bacterium. RNAcentral describes it as "bacterial SSU rRNA". It matches the Rfam family "Bacterial small subunit ribosomal RNA", at positions 445 to 793 of the family's 1533-position model. The record is from RNAcentral.